Molecule: ribosomal RNA, 455 nt
Filed under: uncultured bacterium
Lineage: Bacteria
Description: bacterial SSU rRNA
Rfam family: Bacterial small subunit ribosomal RNA
Source: RNAcentral
UACGGGAGGCAGCAGUGGGGAAUAUUGCACAAUGGGCGCAAGCCUGAUGCAGCCAUGCCGCGUGUAUGAAGAAGGCCUUCGGGUUGUAAAGUACUUUCAGUCGUGAGGAAGGUGUUAAGGUUAAUAACCUUAGCAAUUGACGUUAGCGACAGAAGAAGCACCGGCUAACUCCGUGCCAGCAGCCGCGGUAAUACGGAGGGUGCGAGCGUUAAUCGGAAUUACUGGGCGUAAAGGGCACGCAGGCGGUUAAUUAAGUUGGAUGUGAAAUCCCCGGGCUUAACCUGGGAAUGGCAUUCAAGACUGGUUAGCUAGAGUCUUGUAGAGGGGGUAGAAUUCCAUGUGUAGCGGUGAAAUGCGUAGAGAUGUGGAGGAAUACCGGUGGCGAAAGGCGGCCCCUGGGACAAAGACUGACGCUCAUGUGCGAAAGCGUGGGGAGCAAACAGGGAUUAGAUACC